This 472-nucleotide ribosomal RNA is filed under the name uncultured organism. Its description in RNAcentral is "partial 16S ribosomal RNA". It matches the Rfam family "Bacterial small subunit ribosomal RNA", at positions 333 to 797 of the family's 1533-position model. The record is from RNAcentral.
ACACUCCUACGGGAGGCAGCAGUGGGGAAUAUUGCACAAUGGGCGCAAGCCUGAUGCAGCCAUGCCGCGUGUAUGAAGAAGGCCUUCGGGUUGUAAAGUACUUUCAGCGGGGAGGAAGGCAAUACGGUUAAUAACCGUGUUGAUUGACGUUACCCGCAGAAGAAGCACCGGCUAACUCCGUGCCAGCAGCCGCGGUAAUACGGAGGGUGCAAGCGUUAAUCGGAAUUACUGGGCGUAAAGCGCACGCAGGCGGUCUGUCAAGUCGGAUGUGAAAUCCCCGGGCUCAACCUGGGAACUGCAUUCGAAACUGGCAGACUUGAGUCUUGUAGAGGGGGGUAGAAUUCCAGGUGUAGCGGUGAAAUGCGUAGAGAUCUGGAAGAAUACCGGUGGCGAAGGCGGCCACCUGGACAAAGACUGACGCUCAGGUGCGAAAGCGUGGGGAGCAAACAGGAUUAGAAACCCGGGUAGUCCC